Long non-coding RNA from Thalassophryne amazonica, 87 nucleotides. RefSeq lists it as uncharacterized. The transcript is spliced from 3 exons. The record is from RefSeq and is a predicted model, not a curated record. NCBI's taxonomy places the organism in Eukaryota, Metazoa, Chordata, Actinopteri, Batrachoidiformes, Batrachoididae.
CAUUAGGUUAAAUAUAUCCCAGCAUGCCUUAGGUCUGGCCCCUACGCCCCGUUAUUGAGGUGGGUGUCAUCACUGCUGUACCCUCCA